GACAGAGGGUGCAAACGUUGUUCGGAAUUACUGGGCGUAAAGCGCGUGUAGGCUGCUGCGCAAGUCGGAUGUGAAAGCCCUGGGCUCAACCUAGGAAGUGCAUUCGAUACUGCGGAGCUCGAGUCCUGGAGAGGAAGGCGGAAUUCUCGGUGUAGAGGUGAAAUUCGUAGAUAUCGAGAGGAACACCGGUGGCGAAGGCGGCCUUCUGGACAGUGACUGACGCUGAGACGCGAAAGCGUGGGGAGCAAACAGG
Molecule: ribosomal RNA, 253 nt
Filed under: uncultured bacterium
Lineage: Bacteria
Description: partial 16S ribosomal RNA
Rfam family: Bacterial small subunit ribosomal RNA
Source: RNAcentral